CAGUAGCCGCGGUAAUACAGAGGGUGCGAGCGUUAAUCGGAUUUACUGGGCGUAAAGCGUGCGUAGGCGGCUUCUUAAGUCGGAUGUGAAAUCCCUGAGCUUAACUUAGGAAUUGCAUUCGAUACUGGGAGCUAGAGUAUGGGAGAGGAUGGUAGAAUUCCAGGUGUAGCGGUGAAAUGCGUAGAGAUCUGGAGGAAUACCGAUGGCGAAGGCAGCCAUCUGGCCUAAUACUGACGCUGAGGUACGAAAGCAUGGGGAGCAAACAGGAUUAGAUACCCGCGUAGUCCCUGUCUCUUAUACA
RNAcentral lists this ribosomal RNA (301 nucleotides) under uncultured bacterium. Its description in RNAcentral is "partial 16S ribosomal RNA". It matches the Rfam family "Bacterial small subunit ribosomal RNA", at positions 509 to 808 of the family's 1533-position model. The record is from RNAcentral.